Molecule: ribosomal RNA, 253 nt
Filed under: uncultured bacterium
Lineage: Bacteria
Description: partial 16S ribosomal RNA
Rfam family: Bacterial small subunit ribosomal RNA
Source: RNAcentral
UACGUAGGGGGCAAGCGUUGUCCGGUAUUAUUGGGCGUAAAGAGCGUGUCGGCGGUCCGGUAAGUCAGCUGUGAAAGUCAAGGGCUCAACCCUUGAAUGCCGGUUGAUACUGUCGGGCUAGAGUCCGGAAGAGGCGAGUGGAAUUCCCGGUGUAGCGGUGAAAUGCGCAGAUAUCGGGAGGAACACCAAUGGCGAAGGCAGCUCUCUGGGACGGUACUGACGCUGAGACGCGAAAGCGUGGGGAGCGAACAGG